GACUUUGCCUUCUCCUAUCGAGUUCUAUGUAGGAGAUGGAAGGCUGACAUUACUGAGCAGGAGAUGGUUAAACUCCUUCUUAAGAACAUGGUUCCCCGCCUUGCUAGUCAACUUCGAGAACGUGUGGAAAAUGUGGAUGAUCUGGUGCGUCUUGGGACUCAGUUUGAGAAGGACUGGAAGCACCACCUCCAAACUAAAAACCCCGUUCCCUCAUCCCAGUAUACCCAUAACUCUCUUAGGGCUAAACCGUCUCAGAUAUUUGUACCCAAGAUCCAGGACAAAUGUCCAGUUGUGUGUUGGAGGUGUAAAGUCCAACAUCCUCCAGAUUCUUGCCCGCUCUAUGUCCAGCGUCAGGAUUCAGGAAAAGGUCAGAAAGGACCGAAGACUGAAAGUCUAGACAGGCGUGGUGGCUUGCAUACAAUUGGGUCAGCCUUAAUGCCCACCAUGAAGCUUUUAGACAGUACAGCUAGCGGUCUUAUUCCUAUUCCGCAACAACUAUUGGUUCCUCUGACUGUUAGAAACUGGAGAGGGAAGGCCAUAAUCGACACAGGGGCAUCUUACACCCUGAUGCAAGAGGCCCUGUGGCAGAACAUGGCAUUACCUCAUGAGGAGCUACGAACAUGGGAGGAAGGACCAUUGUACUUGGCCAAUGGAGAACCUACCACUCCCUGGAUUAGUAUAAUAAUAAAACUGCAUGGUGAGACUAUUAACCUUCCUGUGGCAAUACUUGCAGACUCAAGCCUUGCAUUUGCUGUAGUCCUUGGCCUAGACUUCCUGUUCUUCAGUGGACUGACCAUCUCUAUGUCCGAACCCUCCUAUCGGCUACACUCUGACUAUUCCCAGCCUCAUCCAUUUCAACCUGGUAAUGCACUGAUUUCAGGUUGGAGCCUGCUACAUUAUGCAGAGUCCGGACAAGGUCAAGUCAGAGACAGAGAAAAUAUAAAGAGACAAAGACAAAAACAUGUUCCACCAGUGAAGUCUGAGAACCGAACUAUCACCCUGAUUACCGCCGUACCUCCCCUUCUAUCCGAGAGCAAAAACAAACCUGAUGCGGAUUUCUACAUCAAGCAAGCGGUGGAACAGGCAUGUCUGUCGGAUGAUGAAAGGUGGCAGCUCUCCCAGAUGUUGGACAUGAACAGUGAGGUUUGUACUCUUACACUCGGCCGUACAACCGUCUUCAAACACAAAAUCUAUACCCGGCAUGAGGUCCCCAUUAAGCAGCGUCCCUACAGGCUGUCCCCCGCCAAACUGGCAAUUCUCAAUGAACAGCUCAAAAGCAUGUUGGAGAAUGGAAUUGUGGAACCUUCUUUUUCUGGAUGGGCUUCUCCGGUUGUCCUGAUUCCUAAGAAAGAUGGUGGAUAUCGAUUCUGUGUGGACUACAGGAAGCCGAAUGCCAUAACAGAAAGCGAUGCCUACCCUCUACCA
This 1425-nucleotide long non-coding RNA is filed under the name Oncorhynchus kisutch (coho salmon). RNAcentral's name for it is "lncRNA (ENSOKIG00005048520.1)". Lineage: Eukaryota; Metazoa; Chordata; Actinopteri; Salmoniformes; Salmonidae. The record is from RNAcentral.